GUGGGGAUGGCAGAUGAAUGCAUUCGGUUUAAGCUCGGGUCAUGGGUUUUUUGGCCCUCCUCACU
This 65-nucleotide transfer RNA is filed under the name Mimachlamys nobilis (noble scallop). Its description in RNAcentral is "tRNA-Leu". Lineage: Eukaryota; Metazoa; Mollusca; Bivalvia; Pectinida; Pectinidae. The record is from RNAcentral.